UCACUCUCUUCCUGGAGGCCUUAGAGGGCACUGAGUCUGUCAUCCCAAGGGACAAGUUUCAGAACAUCACCAGUGCCGUGUUCUACCAGCUCUAUGACGACAGCAAGCAGCACAGCGAGGCUGAUCGUGCACAGCUGACCCACUGCAUCAUGCUGCAGGCCCGGAUCUGCCCAGAGGAAAUGAUCCUGUUUCUGCAGUCGCAGCUGGGAGAUGACUGGGAGGCUGGAUGCGUGGCAGCCCUGGGUCUGCUGGGUACUCUGGCUCGCUCUGAUGGUCAGUACCACCGGCUGGGACUUCCA
Molecule: non-coding RNA, 299 nt
Organism: Meleagris gallopavo (turkey)
Lineage: Eukaryota; Metazoa; Chordata; Aves; Galliformes; Phasianidae
Source: RefSeq, a predicted model, not a curated record